Molecule: ribosomal RNA, 218 nt
Filed under: uncultured bacterium
Lineage: Bacteria
Description: partial 16S ribosomal RNA
Rfam family: Bacterial small subunit ribosomal RNA
Source: RNAcentral
AUUGAACGCUGGCGGCAUGCCUUACACAUGCAAGUCGAACGGCAGCACGGGACUCGGGCAACUGAGCCCUGGUGGCGAGUGGCGAACGGGUGAGUAAUGCAUCGGAACGUGCCCAGUAGUGGGGAUAACUAGUCGAAGAUUAGCUAUACGCAUACGACCUAUGGGUGAAAGCGGGGNGUUUCGGGUCACCGAGAACCUCGCGCUAUCGGAGCGGCCGA